GCGCUGCUAGCUCAACGGUUGAGCAGGUCCCUCUUAAGGACAAGGUUGCUGGUUCAAAUCCGGCGCAGCGCA
RNAcentral lists this transfer RNA (72 nucleotides) under Candidatus Desantisbacteria bacterium CG1_02_49_89. Its description in RNAcentral is "tRNA-Lys". It matches the Rfam family "tRNA". From Rfam's summary of the family: Transfer RNA (tRNA) molecules are approximately 80 nucleotides in length. RNAcentral also lists the same sequence under 3 other names. The record is from RNAcentral. Lineage: Bacteria; Candidatus Desantisiibacteriota.